Molecule: non-coding RNA, 357 nt
Organism: Paramuricea clavata
Lineage: Eukaryota; Metazoa; Cnidaria; Anthozoa; Malacalcyonacea; Plexauridae
Source: the annotation of a GenBank genome assembly
UUAUCUUUGAGAGUAAGACAAGCUUACUACUCGCUAACUCUCCAUUCGAUUUGAACAUAGGUGUACUGGUGCAGAUGACAUUUUCCCAACUAAGCCUGAAAAUGCCCGACCUUUGAUUCCUCCCCGUCCCAGAACAUGCACACACAGAGGUAAAACACAUACGUGUUUAAGUCUUUGAAUUAAUGUAAUUGUGAUUAUUGUGUUAACUGUGUAGUGUGUAAUUGCAGCAUUAUAGAGCAAAUAUUUGCAUUACUUCAUGUCAGUAUCUGUUCCAAGCUCGUUCGAAAUUUUUCAAACACACUUGGCUUUGUGAGUUUGUGCCCCUAUGCUUCUUUAUACUUAACUACGACAUUUUCA